CAGUAGCCGCGGGAAUACGGAGGGUGCAAGCGUUAAUCGGAAUUACUGGGCGUAAAGCGUGCGCAGGCGGUUUGUUAAGACAGAUGUGAAAUCCCCGGGCUUAACCCGGGAACUGCAUUUGUGACUGGCAAGCUAGAGUAUGGCAGAGGGGGGUGGAAUUCCGCGUGUAGCAGUGAAAUGCGUAGAUAUGCGGAGGAACACCGAUGGCGAAGGCAGCCCCCCUGGGCCAAUACUGACGCUGAGGCGCGAAAGCGUGGGGAGCAAACAGGAUUAGAUACCCCAGUAGUCCCUGUCUCUUAUA
This 301-nucleotide ribosomal RNA is filed under the name uncultured bacterium. RNAcentral's name for it is "partial 16S ribosomal RNA". It matches the Rfam family "Bacterial small subunit ribosomal RNA", at positions 509 to 808 of the family's 1533-position model. The record is from RNAcentral.